GUCACUCGUCCAGCUGCCUC
RNAcentral lists this non-coding RNA (20 nucleotides) under Arabidopsis thaliana (thale cress). Lineage: Eukaryota; Viridiplantae; Streptophyta; Magnoliopsida; Brassicales; Brassicaceae. The record is from RNAcentral.